UAAAACCAGAAUCAUAUAUUGCAAUGUUAGAAUAUGCACGAAAGAUAUACAAUAAUGGAAAUUUAAAAGUGCCCAAUCCUUCUGAAUUGAGAUCAGAAAUUUUGAAACUAUCUACAAAAAGAAAUUUAUUGGAAGAAAGUGUAUCGCUACAAGAACGUCAAUUUAUAUAAGUCAUACACCAAUUUGCAGAAUUAGAAGUGAUUAAAAUCUUGAAACAAGAUGCUUGUUCAAAAUUUGAACAAAGGAAAGUUAGAUUAGAGAAAGUUAAAAACUUGCAGUUCCUUAUACGGGAAUGUGGUCAUGUAAAUGCUGACUUGUUAUUUAUACUAAUGCAGAGACAGUGGUACUGUCUUAUAGAUGUAUCAGAAAUUGUGGCUGAUACAUAUCACUAUAUGACCUUGGAAUAUUCAUUAGCUUCCACACGAUGUGAAAGUAUGCAACAACAACAGGAAGAGUUUGUGUUAUCUUGCCCAGAUACCCACAAUGCAUUCAUCAAGCUUUUAGUUUCUAUUUUGUGUAAUGGUGAUAACACACAGCAAUUAAAUUCCACGUUAAAUAAGUACAAUGAACUCAUAAAUGAAAACAAAGUUAAAAAGCAAUUCAUAUUGGAAACAGACAUAUAUUCCAAAAUUGAUGAACUAGAAAUGUUGUAAGUAUUAUAUUUUUAACAGUUAUACAAGUGAAAUUCAAAAGGGAGCAACAUACAGUUUCAAACCAAUUUCGUAUGAAAUUGAAACUUAUUACAAGGAAGCUUGUGAUCAUUUACAAAAUAUACAAACAGAUUUAACUAAAGUAAUAAGUCAAAUGAAAGAACAAAUGUGGAUCCAAUUACACUAAAACAAAAACAUAAAGAAGGCAUGCAAAUAACAAAUAAAUCAUGUUUUCGAAGUACAUUUGAAGUUGAAUAAAUACGAUUUUUAUGAGUGAGCAAAACAGUCUAAGCUAACCACACAUAAAUAAGGGGAAGCAUGAUGCAUGGGUUAAUUGCAUAGUACUGGAGUAUCGAGAAGCGUAAUACAUAAAUAAACUGUUCGGUUAUGGACAAAUACAUGCACAGUUAGAAAACCUCCUACAUACUAUUAAAUACUUGUCAAAAGUGGAGGAGUAUUGUAUAUAUUAUUGGCGAGCUGAUACGUAUUCAAUAUCUAGCUAUCUGUACAUACUUACAGUUAUUACUUGUAUUCUUCUCUGUUAAAUAUUUUGAAUUCUUUCCAAAUAUAUUCUAUAAUUUUGUUAAAAAAAACAA
Non-coding RNA from Megalopta genalis, 1246 nucleotides. NCBI's taxonomy places the organism in Eukaryota, Metazoa, Arthropoda, Insecta, Hymenoptera, Halictidae. The record is from RefSeq and is a predicted model, not a curated record.